This is a long non-coding RNA of Amphibalanus amphitrite, 614 nucleotides long. RefSeq lists it as uncharacterized. The record is from RefSeq and is a predicted model, not a curated record. The transcript is spliced from 2 exons. Lineage: Eukaryota; Metazoa; Arthropoda; Thecostraca; Balanomorpha; Balanidae.
GGGGUGCUCAAGACACCAGUGUAUUCAUUCACCAUACCUUCCCUUGACUGUGGCUGAUCUAUUGAACAAAAAAAGGCAUACAAUGCAAAUUAAAAACACAAUGGCAUCACAAAAAUAGCAAUGCGGAAUCACAGGUGGAUCUAGGUGGAUCCUAGUGGUCCAUUGGGGUCAUGGCCCUCCUCCCAAAGGUUUUAAUUUUAUAGUGAGGGUAUCAUAUUUUGUAUACUUCAAAUUUGUAUUAAACUGCAUUGACAGACGAGGCAUACAUAUUCAUUUGACAUUUCAGUUUCACCUCUUAUUGUGUUGUUUAAUUUUGAUUUAAAUUAUUGUGCUGAAUUGCUGCAUUGGCUGUUUUAAUAGUGUAUUUUGAUGAAUGUACUUGAAUCAAAAUUGGUGUCAUUUGUUUCAUUUUGCUAGUUACUUGUUUGGUUGUUUUGAGUGAUUUGUGGAAUGUGGAAAUCAUUCAGUUACCUAUGACUUGACUAGUUAUGCUAUCCUGAAUUAUGUAGACUGGUGAACUGUGCAUGUAUCAGUUCAAGAUGUUCCAUAUCUAAUGAUUUUCAAUGUAGUUACCUACAUAAUAGACCAUAUUAACACGCUCAAUGUUUAAUGUU